CCCUUGUGUCCUUGCCUCUCUCUUGCCUCGAACACCUGAUCUCUCUCCAUGUGUCUGAUCUUUCAUUUGGAGAGCGUCCUGUAGGUGGACUGAUGCAGCGGGCAGCCUUGCCAGACUAGCCUCUUGCCCUCAGCAUGAUCCCCUUCUUGCCAGUAGUUUAGGACCUGUGACAUCAGAUGGCCCGUAUGGGCUUUGGAGUCCCUCCCAGCUGCCAGGAAGUAUGAGGCAGGGUGAUCAGCCAUCAGGAGCCAGGUCCUGGAGGGCCUGGCUGUGGGGUGGGUCUGCUGCAGAGCUAUGAAGCUGCCAGCAGGGGGCAGCAGAGGCCUUGCCCAAGGGCGAUUCCAGCGGCACCCUGAGGUCUUGCCCCACUCUGGACCCCAGCUCACAGGUAUCAGCCCAACCCUGAGAUCCAAAUUAGUGACUGAGGCUGGUGACGUGUGGCCAGGAGGGGACAGGGAAGGCCUGGCUGGGAGGGGGCCCACAGUCAGGCAGCCGGAGGCCCCGUCACCCACUACCCCAGGACUUUUGCUGCAGGCUCAGCUUUGCACCAUUCCAGCCUCUCCCUCCACAUCUUCUCUGCACAAAGCCUCCCCAGCAGGGUCAGCAGAGGUGAAGUCCUCAGCACCCCACCUCUCAGCAGAACCACUUUUCUGCAGCCUCAAUGCCAUGAGACCCACAUACCGCCUCCCCCAGACUUCUCACCCGGCUCUGAUUGCCCAGGGCUCAGCAAGGAAAGGGGCUGUGUGUGAUGGAAUGAGUGGAUGAACGGGUCAGCGUUGCGUCUGCGAACCUGCCUUCCUGUGGCCCGCAUCACUUCCUCCCAUCACUCCCUGGUGGCCUUCCUGGAGGCUGUCCUGCCCUGGAUGCUGGCACGGUGCGCACUCCCUCCCAGGCAGCCUCACCCCCGAGUAGCUUUAGCUGCUGGCCCACACUGCCCAGCACAAACUCGCCAGUGGCCCAGAGCCCUGCGCCUGCCCUUGCCGCCUCCGCCCUUCCCACGGAGCUCCAGGGCUUCCCUGCCUGGGGCCGCUGACCCCCGCCCUGCACUUCUCCGUUGAUAUUUGUGGAAUGAGUGAACGAGCUAAUGACUCUGCCUCUGAGGUCCUGUGAGCGCUUCUAGUUCAACACGUACCAGGUGGUCUGCUCUCCGCCGCCAUUCUCCUCUGCCUCCCAACUUAGAAACCCAGGUCAGCCCAGAGGGCCUGCUCCUCACAGGUAAACUACUCACUCUUAUGUCCUGCCCCGGUGCCUGCAUGCUCGGUGCCACCUGCCCAGUGCCCAGCUGCCCCACUCCAGCCGUGCCACCUCCUCGGGCUCCCUGCCUGUCUCUACACCCGCUCCUCUGCCCACACUGCCACUGGGCAUCUGUUCUUAGUGGUCAGUCCCACUGUGCUGACCCCUCCUUAAAAUGCUCCUUGUGUCCACACCCCACAGUUGUGUUUCCAAAGUGUCGGACUCACGAUGGGUGGCACUUGGCAUACUUGCAGGAGGCCGAGGGUCUCCUAUGUGAGAGCCGAGUCCUCUAAGUGACAGUGAACAGGAGCAGGACACGAGGAGCUGUUUCUUUCCCAGCUCUGUCGAGCCUUCAGAUUGCACCAAGGAGAAGGUUUCCAGCGAUGCUUGUCUCCCCUCUUUGGCUAACCCCUUCUUUCAGCAGGAAUCAGGCUGCAGCCAGCUGGCAGCUAGCACGCUAGCUCGAAUGCAGAGGCAGCGAGGUCUUGUUUUCAUUCUGUUUAGUUUACAGUUACAGUAUCUACUAUCUGCAACACGGGCUGUGGAGUUUCUAGCUAUAGUGCUAAAGUCCCAUAAAUUAAAAUUUAUCCACAGAAGAUACCCAUCAAAGGGCCAAUCUAGUGUCCAGGAUACAUAAAGCGAUCUUAAUUAUCAAUGAGAGAAAUCAAUAGAAAUUGAAAUAGAAAGACUCGGUCUUCACAAAGAGGAUACACGAGAUCCUUAAGUGCCAAGUUCAUCAGUCAUCUGAGAAAUGCAAAGUAAAGUCGCAGUGCCACAUUACUGACUCCCACCAGGGCUGACUCGAAGCUCACAGCCUCCAAUGCUGACCAGGGUGUGGAGUGUCCCAGGCAGGUAGGACAAACUGACAACUUAGGAAACAGUGGCCUCAACCAGAACUCAGCCACACUCAGCCAGGAAUUCAGUUCCUGGGGGUGAUUCCAACAGGAGGGAGUAAAAGCACUGACCAGAAGUCUCGCAUACAAGUGUGCACAACAGCUACGCAAAACAGCCCCAAACAGACCACAGUCAGAAACUGCUGUGUGUUCCUAGGAUGGAGUGGGUAUGAAAGAGAACUGAUGGAUUAAAGAAAAUCCCUAUUGCAUCAAAGAAGCCAAACUGGAAGAACAAUUCUGCUUCCAUCCAUGCCAAGAUCAGAGGGAGGUAAAACUAAAGCAUUCUUAAGCCUCAGACCCAGGUCUCCUGUGGCCUGGAGGAGGCGCUGCGCCCCAGCCAGUCUGCCUUCCCACGUGAAAAUCAUUUUCCCCAACCGUGUACUUCUUCGCACACACCUGACACAUCAAGGAAAAUUGCCUAGGGCUGGGGAGGAGCUCCAUGGUCCAGUGAGUGCUCAGCACCACAAGGCCUAAGAUUCAGUUCCCAGUGCCAAAAAGAAGAAAAACAGUGACCUACAGUCAGGCUUCUAAACAACGGACUGUUUAAGACAAACAUCAGAAACCCCUCGCUCAGGCUGUAACGGUCCUGCAGGCAGAGCCCACGGUGGCACGGGGACCAGAGCCUCACUGGGCAGUUCAGCCUCAAGCCACACAGCUGCCAGCUGGCACCAGGGGCACAGAGUGAGAUCCUGGGAACGUGAGUUGGGAUGUGAGCUUGCCUGGCCGCUGGGCUCUAGGCAGGUCGCCCGACACCCUGGGCUCAGCCUCCUCACCUGCAAACCAGGCUGGCAGAGCAGCAGCUCAGACACAGGGCCACCCCUGUUCCUGCUCGGCCUGGCUGAGCCCUGCCAUGCCCUGGUGUCUGAUUGUCCUUCCACCUGGGGUGACAGGGCCUUUCCCCCGUGUGGCCUCUCACCCCCACCCCUGCCUGCGGACACGGAUACCCCAGCCGCCAUGGUCUGUGCUGCUGUGUGUGCAGUCCACUCUUUCUGUGCUGGCAGGCCCUGGACUUGGCUCGUAGGACCAGGCUUGGACACCUCCUCCUUGAUGGAAAAAUGGGCGUUCUUCAAAUGACUAUCACCUCGCUGAGUCCCAGUCAGGACCUGGUUCCUUCUUCACAAUGCAGACCUUCGGCCCUCACCAUUGCUACGGAGAACUGGCACCACGAGAUGGACUGCGAGUGGUGGUGAUCGCUAUGACGUCAGCUCAAAGGUUAGGGACGUCCCCAAGCCACUCAGUUCCUUCUCUGCCCUGUAUGGAUAGGUCACCCACGGGAGGGCCUCCAGCUUCGUCGCUGGUGGGUUCCCUAAGCCGGGCACCUUGGAAGGGAGGGACAGGGAGCCCUGUGCUGAGUGACCGCGAGUGGCCUAGGCCCCUGUGAUUCGCAGUCAAGUCAGCUUCUUAGCAAGAAAAGUGCCGCAGAAGUCGUGUGGAGGCUGCCCUCCGAAUUACGGUAUGAAAAUGAAGUCACCGCACCCCAAGGCCUCCCCACAUGGCAGGCACUCACAGCAGCCUGCUUUUGCCCGAGGUCCCUGAGGCUCAGCUCUCCCCCUUCGGAAUGCAGCCCCUAGGCGGGGACCAUCCUGGGCUAACAGAGCAAGGUGGAGAGGGCAGGACACCCCUUCCAUGCAAGGCCCAGGGAGCAGAGGAGGCUCGGGGCACUGGGUGGGUGGCUUCUCAUUCUGACCAGGUUGCCUCUCUGUCCCCCAGACCUUUGCCCUAUGCCCAGCCAUUUUCCAGUGCCCAGGACAGUGGCGGCAGGGGUGGUGCUCAGCAGACUUGGGAAAUCCCACAGCUGGAGUAGCACAGGGCCGGGGGAGGAAUGCCUGCCCUCCUUUGCCAUUUCUCACUUAUUCAACAAAUGCUGGAUGUGCACCAGCUGCCAGGUGCCAGAAACAAGCCGCAGCAAGUGCAGAGGACACACUCAAACCAAGGCAGUCUGAGAGCAGGGUCAGUUCUGUGGGUGGCGUGGGCAGCGGGGCGGUCAGUGCUCAGCAAGUGCUGUCUCAGAAGGGGACACAGGAGCAGCACCAGCCCUGGGCGGCAGGGGACACGCAGAGGGAGGUGCAGGGAGCACCCAGCAGCUGGGCUAGGACAGAGGAAGGUGACUUGUGUCUCAAGAAUGCUCGAUGGGGCUGGCAGGAGUCAGAGAGACAGGUAGAAGAGGAAGCCAGCCUGGGAAGGGCCUGAGACAUUGGAUUCACUUCACCGCAGGAUGUGGCCCCCGACAGAGCCACGUGUUCUCUGGGACACUUUACGAAUUUCGUGCUCUGGCCAAGUGAGAGGCAGGGUGGAACGAUGAGCACCAGGCCUGAGUCUGUGCGGAAGCUGAGACCCGUGGACCCAGCUACUGGCACGUUGCUUCCUGGCUGCAGUGGUCUCAGCUCUGUCCUGCUGUCCUAGCACUGGUGGGGAGAGCGACAGCUGGCUCUGCCACCGUGAAACAAGGGCUGGGAUUGCUGUGAGAGUCAUCGAGUUAUCAGACCGUGGAUUUUCAGAGACGGUGGCUGAAGGACACGCUGUGAGCUCAGGGCGGGAGUCCAGGGGCACACAGUCAGCAAUGAGGACAAGGUUCCAGGGUGUCCUGGUGGAGGGAAGGCUGGCAGGACACAGCCGGGCACCGUGCAAAUGCUGGCUCAUUCUGAAUGAGGCUGGAGGGGACACCAGACAGCAGCCAGAAGGGCAGGUGCCCGGGAGGCAGCAGCACCUGUGCCGACCACCUAGGGCUAGGGUUGGAGAAGAUGGUGGGAAGCUUGGAAGCUGCAGCGGGCACCAAGAACCAUGUCCACUCACCGUCCAGCACCUGCUCUGCACCCUAGGUGGGGUCCAACCUGGGUGCCAGGUUCGUGCCAGGCCCCGUGGGCUCUGUGCCAUGCUGCUGUGGCUCCCAGGUGCCUCCUCAGCCAUGUGACACUGCCACCUGCUUCCUCCUGGGGCUCGGCUGGGACCCCAUCCUCGGAGGACAGAGAGAGGCUCGCCAUAGGCUCUGCCACCGUGGCUGCAGAGACACUGGGACUUGUCCUGAGAACACGGGGGAGGCUGAUGGGUGGGAAGUCGGAACUUAGCAAGCGCUGGCCAGCUCAGUCCCUCCUUACCCAUUCUCCAGUGCCAGGCAGGAGAGGGUGCCACCCGGGACGCAGGGCUGAAGCCUAGUCCCGAGGUCCUGGGAUCACAAAGACAGACAAGUGGCCAGUGAGCCGGGCUGGAAGUGAGGACCCGCAGUGGACAUGGCUGCCCUGCGGAGGAGCCUCAGCCUGAGCUCACAGGGCUCACUCCCAAGUCGGGCGUCUCCAGGGGCCAGGCAGGGCGUCCAGAAGCCUAAACUUGCCUUCCUGGCAGGGGGACACUGACCCUGUGGUCCCAGCUGCCUACCCUUGACCUCUGGAGGUAGCAUCCACCCCUCAAACCCAUCUCAACACACCCUCCCUGCAGAGGAGGAAGCUGGCUCACACUGUGCCCGAUCUGCCCCACAGUGGUGCGCACACCCCCCGUCUUCUCUGCAUCCCUCUUCUCCUCCCUCCCUGCUCCACCCCUCUUCCUCUCUCUUCCUCCCUCCUUCCCUUCAUCCACUCCUCCCACAUCCCCCAUCCAGCCAGUUAUGCAAUGACAUUUGUCACAGUGCUCUGGGGACCGCAGAAGGUGCUCAGGACACAGCAACGGAGAGGUAGACUGGAUUGGAGAGCCGGCUGUGGUUCCACAGCCCAGCAUUCCUAGGGUAAGGUUCUGGUCUGGAGCUGGGGCUGCUCCCUGGAGCCCCUGUGCCCGCCCAUCUCCAGAGGCCAUGACCAAAUGUGUGUCCUGGCUCAGGAGCCAGACUUGGCCCAGGCCCAGCUCCAGCCCUUGGUGGGUGCUGACCCGGAGCGCCUCGUGGGGCUGCAGACACCUCUGGCUUGUCUAUCCCCGCACCAUCCUCUGUCUGUCCACACAUGGUCAGAGCUUCUUCCAGCAUGGCAGGCUCAUACUGUGCACAAGGCUUGGCUCAGCUUCAAGGAGAGAGGACAAUGUAGACAUCACCUCUCGAUGGAAAGAGUACCGAAGAACUUGCGGUGACAUCGCAGAUCAGUGUAACAGUAUGUGCCCCGAACACAGGACGGAAGCUUCCGGAAGGCGGUGCCGUGCCCUCUUGCCUAGCUCCAUGAGCGUUUGCAGAAUGAUCCUCAUGAGGAAAGCUCACGGUCCCUGGCACCCUCCCGGCGCUCCACCCUCUCCCUGCCUGCCUGGUGCUGGGCAGGGCUCCUGUCUGCCACGCACAAUGGGAGGCCACCCAUACUGCAGGAGCCCUGUUUUCCUGGCAUACGCAUGAAGACAGAAUGAAGCCCGGAGAUUCAGAGCCCCGCAGCUGCCAUCUGGACAUGGCCACUGGGGUGGAGACAGGGACAGCCACGGGGCAAGCUCAGUGCAGGUGGAGGAAAGCAGGACCAGGAGGCCAGGGCUGGGGCCGACCCUCGCUAUGCUCGGCCUGGCCUUGCAGCUGUGUUGUGGACAGUCCUGUGCCACCUUCCCUGGGAAGCGCUGUGCAGUUUGUGAACAGAAGUCUGUGAGGCACCACGCUGUGCCUGGUGUGAUGGCCCGGCCAUCCAAGCCCCGGGGCCUCCCCAUUUCAAGCCACGGCCUCUGUGGCCACCACCAGAAGAAAGGAGAGAACAGAGGGCUAGACACCAGCACUCACAGGCUGUGGCCUAGAGUGACACGCGUCACCUCCAUCACAGCCCAGUGGUCAGGGCCACGGAGGUCCAGGUGGCUGCCGCUGUCCUGGGGAAGAGCAGACAGAGGACAGGGGAAGCCACAGAGCUCGGGCCUGGACACCGGCAUGGAGCCUGAGCUGC
This 6952-nucleotide long non-coding RNA is filed under the name Heterocephalus glaber (naked mole-rat). RNAcentral's name for it is "lncRNA (ENSHGLG00100047972.1)". Lineage: Eukaryota; Metazoa; Chordata; Mammalia; Rodentia; Bathyergidae. The record is from RNAcentral.